GAGUUUGAUCAUGGCUCAGAUUGAACGCUGGCGGCAUGCCUUACACAUGCAAGUCGAACGGCAGCACGGGAGCUUGCUCCUGGGUGGCGAGUGGCGAACGGGUGAGUAAUGCAUCGGAACGUAUCCUGGAGUGGGGGAUAACGUAGCGAAAGUUACGCUAAUACCGCAUAUUCUGUGAGCAGGAAAGCGGGGGACCUUCGGGCCUCGCGCUCUUGGAGCGGCCGAUGUCGGAUUAGCUAGUUGGUGAGGUAAAGGCUCACCAAGGCGACGAUCCGUAGCAGGUCUGAGAGGAUGAUCUGCCACACUGGAACUGAGACACGGUCCAGACUCCUACGGGAGGCAGCAGUGGGGAAUUUUGGACAAUGGGGGCAACCCUGAUCCAGCCAUGCCGCGUGAGUGAAGAAGGCCU
Molecule: ribosomal RNA, 409 nt
Filed under: bacterium enrichment culture clone ALO1_GLFRUDD03F3IRO
Lineage: Bacteria
Also listed under: 3 other names
Description: bacterial SSU rRNA
Rfam family: Bacterial small subunit ribosomal RNA
Source: RNAcentral